Molecule: long non-coding RNA, 210 nt
Organism: Priapulus caudatus
Lineage: Eukaryota; Metazoa; Priapulida; Priapulimorpha; Priapulimorphida; Priapulidae
Exons: 2
Source: RefSeq, a predicted model, not a curated record
AGAGAAAGGCAUUUGAUGUUACCAUAUUUAGUUUCUGACUCAUGUUAAUUCAUUAUGUGUCAUAUAUGUGUACAUCGCCUUGGAGAUGUGCUCCAUCGACCUCAACAUGUGCUCCAUAAAUUACACUUGAUAAUAUAUGUAUAUUUUCUCAAUUAUAUUCGCGUCAUGUGUGCAAAUUUAAUCUGUAAUCGCACCAAAAUUAAUCCUCAG